This 279-nucleotide ribosomal RNA is filed under the name uncultured bacterium. Its description in RNAcentral is "partial 16S ribosomal RNA". It matches the Rfam family "Bacterial small subunit ribosomal RNA", at positions 506 to 784 of the family's 1533-position model. The record is from RNAcentral.
UGCCAGCCGCCGCGGUAAUACAGAGGAUCCGAGCGUUAUCCGGAAUCAUUGGGUGUAAAGGGUCCGUAGGCGGGCGAUUAAGUCAGGGGUGAAAGUUUGCGGCUCAACCGUAAAAUUGCCUUUGAUACUGGUCGUCUUGAAUCGUUGUGAAGUGGCUAGAAUAUAUAGUGUAGCGGUGAAAUGCAUAGAUAUUACAUAGAAUACCGAUUGCGAAGGCAGGUCACUAACAACGCAUUGACGCUGAGGGACGAAAGUGUGGGGAGCGAACAGGAUUAGAUA